GACGAACGCUGGCGGCGUGCUUAACACAUGCAAGUCGAACGGAAAGGCCCUGCUUUUGUGGGGUGCUCGAGUGGCGAACGGGUGAGUAACACGUGAGUAACCUGCCCUUGACUUUGGGAUAACUUCAGGAAACUGGGGCUAAUACCGGAUAGGAGCUCCUGCUGCAUGGUGGGGGUUGGAAAGUUUCGGCGGUUGGGGAUGGACUCGCGGCUUAUCAGCUUGUUGGUGGGGUAGUGGCUUACCAAGGCUUUGACGGGUAGCCGGCCUGAGAGGGUGACCGGCCACAUUGGGACUGAGAGACGGCCCAGACUCCUACGGGGGGCAGAAGUGGGGAAUAUUGCACAAUGGGCGGAAGCCUGAUGCAGCAACGCCGCGUGCGGGAUGACGGCCUUCGGGUUGUAAACCGCUGUCGCCUGUGACGAAGCGUGAGUGACGGUAAUGGGUAAAGAAGCACCGGCUAACUACGUG
This 468-nucleotide ribosomal RNA is filed under the name uncultured bacterium. RNAcentral describes it as "partial 16S ribosomal RNA". It matches the Rfam family "Bacterial small subunit ribosomal RNA", at positions 28 to 507 of the family's 1533-position model. The record is from RNAcentral.